RNAcentral lists this ribosomal RNA (654 nucleotides) under uncultured bacterium. Its description in RNAcentral is "bacterial SSU rRNA". It matches the Rfam family "Bacterial small subunit ribosomal RNA", at positions 271 to 933 of the family's 1533-position model. The record is from RNAcentral.
UGGCUUCGACGGGUAGCCGGCCUGAGAGGGUGACCGGUCACACUGGGACUGAGACACGGCCCAGACUCCUACGGGAGGCAGCAGUGGGGAAUAUUGGACAAUGGGCGGAAGCCUGAUCCAGCAACGCCGCGUGAGGGAUGACGGCCUUCGGGUUGUAAACCUCUUUCAGUACCGACGAAGCGAAAGUGACGGUAGGUACAGAAGAAGCACCGGCCAACUACGUGCCAGCAGCCGCGGUAAUACGUAGGGUGCGAGCGUUGUCCGGAAUUAUUGGGCGUAAAGGGCUCGUAGGCGGUUUGUCGCGUCGGGAGUGAAAACGCCGUGCUUAACACGGCGCUUGCUUUCGAUACGGGCAGACUAGAGGUAUGCAGGGGAGAACGGAAUUCCUGGUGUAGCGGUGAAAUGCGCAGAUAUCAGGAGGAACACCGGUGGCGAAGGCGGUUCUCUGGGCAUGACCUGACGCUGAGGAGCGAAAGUGUGGGGAGCGAACAGGAUUAGAUACCCUGGUAGUCCACACCGUAAACGUUGGGCGCUAGGUGUGGGGUCCAUUCCACGGAUUCCGUGCCGCAGCUAACGCAUUAAGCGCCCCGCCUGGGGAGUACGGCCGCAAGGCUAAAACUCAAAGGAAUUUGACGGGGGCCCCGCACAAGCCGG